UACAGAGGGUGCGAGCGUUAAUCGGAAUUACUGGGCGUAAAGGGUGCGUAGGUGGUCUUUUAAGUCAGAUGUGAAAACCCUGGGCUUAACCUAGGAAUGGCAUUUGAAACUGGGAGACUAGAGUUCGGAAGAGGAAAGUGGAAUUUCAGGUGUAGCGGUGAAAUGCGUAGAUAUCUGAAGGAACAUCAGUGGCGAAGGCGACUUUCUGGUCCGAUACUGACACUGAGGCACGAAAGCGUGGGGAGCAAACAGG
Molecule: ribosomal RNA, 253 nt
Filed under: uncultured bacterium
Lineage: Bacteria
Description: partial 16S ribosomal RNA
Rfam family: Bacterial small subunit ribosomal RNA
Source: RNAcentral